Molecule: long non-coding RNA, 404 nt
Organism: Symphalangus syndactylus (siamang)
Lineage: Eukaryota; Metazoa; Chordata; Mammalia; Primates; Hylobatidae
Source: RefSeq, a predicted model, not a curated record
AAGCAACCUAAAUCUCUAUCAACAGAUGAAUAGAUAAACAAAAUGUGAUAUACACAUGCAAUUAAUUGUUACUCAGCCUGAAAAAAAGAAGGAAAUUCUGCAAAAUGCAACAACAUGCAUGAAACUCAAGGAAAUCAUGCUAAGCGAAACAAGCCAGUCAUAGAAAGUACAUGAUUCCACUUAUAUGAGCUUUGUAGAUAGAUUGUGGAUAAAACUGCAUAUCAGCUUCUCAAACUGCUGCAAGCACUGACCCCAAAGCAGAUGACACACGUCACCCAUGAUCAUCACUCAGCUCAAGAUUGAUGAUGAAGUACAAAAAAGUUAAAUGGGAGAAGAAUUAUGCUCUGGAGUAAAGGCUUCUUCGUCAGCCUCCUGAUGUUUAUACAGGAGAGUGAUCUUUGCUG